CGUGUGCUUACAAGUAGUCAGAGCCCGUUAAUGGGUGAUGGCGUGCCUUUUGUAGAAUGAACCGGCGAGUUACGAUUUGAUGCAAGGUUAAGCAGUAAAUGUGGAGCCGUAGCGAAAGCGAGUCUGAAUAGGGCGUUUAGUAUUUGGUCGUAGACCCGAAACCAGGUGAUCUACCCUUGGUCAGGUUGAAGUUCAGGUAACACUGAAUGGAGGACCGAACCGACUUACGUUGAAAAGUGAGCGGAUGAACUGAGGGUAGCGGAGAAAUUCCAAUCGAACCUGGAGAUAGCUGGUUCUCUCCGAAAUAGCUUUAGGGCUAGCCUCAAGUGAUGAUUAUUGGAGGUAGAGCACUGUUUGGACGAGGGGCCCCUCUCGGGUUACCGAAUUCAGACAAACUCCGAAUGCCAAUUAAUUUAACUUGGGAGUCAGAACAUGGGUGAUAAGGUCCGUGUUCGAAAGGGAAACAGCCCAGACCACCAGCUAAGGUCCCAAAAUAUAUGUUAAGUGGAAAAGGAUGUGGCGUUGCCCAGACAACUAGGAUGUUGGCUUAGAAGCAGCCAUCAUUUAAAGAGUGCGUAAUAGCUCACUAGUCGAGUGACACUGCGCCGAAAA
Molecule: ribosomal RNA, 612 nt
Filed under: Staphylococcus aureus
Lineage: Bacteria; Bacillati; Bacillota; Bacilli; Caryophanales; Staphylococcaceae
Description: partial 23S ribosomal RNA
Rfam family: Bacterial large subunit ribosomal RNA
Source: RNAcentral